GAUCAGCCAUGCCGCGUGAGUGAUGAAGGCCUUAGGGUUGUAAAGCUCUUUUGUCCGGGACGAUAAUGACGGUACCGGAGGAAUAAGCCCCGGCUAACUUCGUGCCAGCAGCCGCGGUAAUACGAAGGGGGCUAGCGUUGCUCGGAAUCACUGGGCGUAAAGGGCGCGUAGGCGGCGUUUUAAGUCGGGGGUGAAAGCCUGUGGCUCAACCACAGAAUGGCCUUCGAUACUGGGACGCUUGAGUAUGGAAGAGGUUGGUGGAACUGCGAGUGUAGAGGUGAAAUUCAUAUAUAUUCGCAAGAACACCGGUGGCGAAGGCGGCCAACUGGACCAUUACUGACGCUGAGGCGCGAAAGCGUGGGGAGCAAACAGGAUUAAAUACCCUGGUAGUCCACGCCGUAAACGAUGAAUGCCAGCU
This 418-nucleotide ribosomal RNA is filed under the name uncultured bacterium. RNAcentral's name for it is "bacterial SSU rRNA". It matches the Rfam family "Bacterial small subunit ribosomal RNA", at positions 385 to 821 of the family's 1533-position model. The record is from RNAcentral.